Molecule: ribosomal RNA, 308 nt
Filed under: Enterobacter chuandaensis
Lineage: Bacteria; Pseudomonadati; Pseudomonadota; Gammaproteobacteria; Enterobacterales; Enterobacteriaceae
Description: bacterial SSU rRNA
Rfam family: Bacterial small subunit ribosomal RNA
Source: RNAcentral
GAGAGCUUGCUCUCGGGUGACGAGUGGCGGACGGGUGAGUAAUGUCUGGGAAACUGCCUGAUGGAGGGGGAUAACUACUGGAAACGGUAGCUAAUACCGCAUAACGUCGCAAGACCAAAGAGGGGGACCUUCGGGCCUCUUGCCAUCAGAUGUGCCCAGAUGGGAUUAGCUAGUAGGUGGGGUAACGGCUCACCUAGGCGACGAUCCCUAGCUGGUCUGAGAGGAUGACCAGCCACACUGGAACUGAGACACGGUCCAGACUCCUACGGGAGGCAGCAGUGGGGAAAUAUUGCACAAUGGGCGCAAGC